Neofelis nebulosa (Clouded leopard) is the source of this 322-nucleotide long non-coding RNA. RefSeq lists it as uncharacterized. The record is from RefSeq and is a predicted model, not a curated record. Lineage: Eukaryota; Metazoa; Chordata; Mammalia; Carnivora; Felidae. The transcript is spliced from 3 exons.
CCAGCCCAGGGCAGACGCAGUCUGGCCAAAUGAUUCUUAGCAGCAGGUCAGGCACCACGUAUAACCCUGUCGCCAUUAACAAGGAAGCAGCUCCAUGAUGACAGGCUCGAGCCGCUGGACCAGGUCCUCGUAAGACUGCAAGUGCAAGUGGGAAGGGUCCCUCAGGCCCUGCUCCAGGGGGCCCUUGGCUGAACCCUCCACUGCUGGAACUCACAUGCUGGCAACUGAGGACUGGUAGGAGGCACUGUGCCCUUCCAGCCCACAGUAGAUGGAGUGCCCAGAAAGAGCUGUGGGGGCAGGGGCAAUAAAGGCUGCCAAAACU